UUAAAAUUUAUUAUUCUAACUUAAACCUAAAAAUUUAUUACUACAUUCCGCUGUACAACUAUCUCUACAUUUACUCGGACCUACGGUAAAGUUAAAAGGCUUUAGGAAAACGUAACCUAAAUUUAUUAAUUAAAACAUCAGGACAGGUUUCUACGAAUAAGCACUUUAUUUCGCU
This is a long non-coding RNA of Topomyia yanbarensis, 175 nucleotides long. RefSeq lists it as uncharacterized. The transcript has 3 exons. The record is from RefSeq and is a predicted model, not a curated record. NCBI's taxonomy places the organism in Eukaryota, Metazoa, Arthropoda, Insecta, Diptera, Culicidae.